This 253-nucleotide ribosomal RNA is filed under the name uncultured bacterium. Its description in RNAcentral is "partial 16S ribosomal RNA". It matches the Rfam family "Bacterial small subunit ribosomal RNA", at positions 524 to 776 of the family's 1533-position model. The record is from RNAcentral.
UACGUAGGGGGCUAGCGUUGUCCGGAAUCAUUGGGCGUAAAGAGCGUGUAGGCGGUCCGGUAAGUCCGCUGUGAAAGUCGGGGGCUCAACCCUCGAAUGCCGGUGGAUACUGUCGGGCUAGAGUACGGAAGAGGCGAGUGGAAUUCCUGGUGUAGCGGUGAAAUGCGCAGAUAUCAGGAGGAACACCAAUUGCGAAGGCAGCUCGCUGGGACGUUACUGACGCUGAGACGCGAAAGCGUGGGGAGCAGACAGG